UGAGGAAUAUUGGUCAAUGGGGCGGGGAGGCCUGAACCAGCCAAGUCGCGUGAGGGAAGACGGUCCUAUGGAUUGUAAACCUCUUUUGUUCGGGGAGGCAAAGAAGGCCACGUGUGGUCAAAAGCGAGAGUACCCGAAGAAAAAGACAUCGGCUAACUCCGUGCC
RNAcentral lists this ribosomal RNA (165 nucleotides) under uncultured bacterium. Its description in RNAcentral is "partial 16S ribosomal RNA". It matches the Rfam family "Bacterial small subunit ribosomal RNA", at positions 355 to 509 of the family's 1533-position model. The record is from RNAcentral.